ACUCUACGGGAGGCAGCAGUGGGGAAUAUUGCACAAUGGGCGAAAGCCUGAUGCAGCAACGCCGCGUGAGCGAUGAAGGUCUUCGGAUCGUAAAGCUCUGUCCUCAAGGAAGAUAAUGACGGUACUUGAGGAGGAAGCCCCGGCUAACUACGUGCCAGCAGCCGCGGUAAU
Molecule: ribosomal RNA, 171 nt
Filed under: uncultured bacterium
Lineage: Bacteria
Description: partial 16S ribosomal RNA
Rfam family: Bacterial small subunit ribosomal RNA
Source: RNAcentral